CAGUCGCCGCGGUAAUACAGAGGGUGCGAGCGUUAAUCGGAUUUACUGGGCGUAAAGCGUGCGUAGGCGGCUAAUUGAGUCGGAUGUGAAAUCCCCGAGCUUAACUUGGGAAUUGCAUUCGAUACUGGUUAGCUAGAGUGUGGGAGAGGAUGGUAGAAUUCCAGGUGUAGCGGUGAAAUGCGUAGAGAUCUGGAGGAAUACCGAUGGCGAAGGCAGCCAUCUGGCCUAACACUGACGCUGAGGUACGAAAGCAUGGGGAGCAAACAGGAUUAGAUACCCGAGUAGUACCUGUCUCUUAUAC
This 301-nucleotide ribosomal RNA is filed under the name uncultured bacterium. RNAcentral's name for it is "partial 16S ribosomal RNA". It matches the Rfam family "Bacterial small subunit ribosomal RNA", at positions 509 to 807 of the family's 1533-position model. The record is from RNAcentral.